ACUUGCAGAAGAGCAAAAGCUGGCUUGAUCUUGAUUUUCAGUACGAGUACAGACCGUGAAAGCGGGGCCUCACGACCCUUCUGACCUUUUGGGUUUUAAGCAGGAGGUGUCAGAAA
Non-coding RNA from Chiloscyllium plagiosum (whitespotted bambooshark), 116 nucleotides. The record is from RefSeq and is a predicted model, not a curated record. Lineage: Eukaryota; Metazoa; Chordata; Chondrichthyes; Orectolobiformes; Hemiscylliidae.